This 497-nucleotide ribosomal RNA is filed under the name uncultured bacterium. Its description in RNAcentral is "partial 16S ribosomal RNA". It matches the Rfam family "Bacterial small subunit ribosomal RNA", at positions 28 to 507 of the family's 1533-position model. The record is from RNAcentral.
GAUGAACGCUGGCGGCGUGCCUAAUACAUGCAAGUCGAGCGAACAGACGAGGAGCUUGCUCCUCUGACGUUAGCGGCGGACGGGUGAGUAACACGUGGAUAACCUACCUAUAAGACUGGGAUAACUUCGGGAAACCGGAGCUAAUACCGGAUAAUAUAUUGAACCGCAUGGUUCAAUAGUGAAAGUCGGUUUUGCUGUCACUUAUAGAUUGAUCCGCGCCGCAUUAGCUAGUUGGUAAGGUAACGGCUUACCAAGGCAACGAUGCGUAGCCGACCUGAGAGGGUGAUCGGCCACACUGGAACUGAGACACGGUCCAGACUCCUACGGGAGGCAGCAGUAGGGAAUCUUCCGCAAUGGGCGAAAGCCUGACGGAGCAACGCCGCGUGAGUGAUGAAGGUCUUCGGAUCGUAAAACUCUGUUAUUAGGGAAGAACAAAUGUGUAAGUAACUAUGCACGUCUUGACGGUACCUAAUCAGAAAGCCCCGGCUAACUACGUG